RNAcentral lists this long non-coding RNA (650 nucleotides) under Lathyrus oleraceus (garden pea). RNAcentral's name for it is "Pisum sativum (pea) long non-coding RNA (PSAT_LNC026563)". Lineage: Eukaryota; Viridiplantae; Streptophyta; Magnoliopsida; Fabales; Fabaceae. The record is from RNAcentral.
GUGGAGAGGGGGUAGUUCCAUAGUCUUAGGUGGAGUGAGUUCGGUACUCAUACGUAGCUUUUUUUAUUUUUUAGUAUUUUUUUAGUAUUUCAUUUUCUUUAGCAUUUUUUUUAGUAUCUCUUUUUCUUUUAGCUUUUAUCUUUUAUUAUUUUAUUGUCUUUUAGUAUUUUGUUUCUUGUAAUAUCUUUUUUUAUGUCCAUGCUUCUUUAUUAAUUUCAUCAUACAUGCAAAACCAUUUUUAAACUAAUAAAAAUCAUAUUCUCUCGAUUUAAUAUCGAGCCCCUUUUUUUCACACCCCUGUAAGUCGAUUGCUUUUAAGCAUCGCCGCCGACCUCACAUAGUUUACUCUUGGGCUUUCUUACAAUGAGCCGGUUCCCUUGCACUUACACUCAUGCAUUAUUUGUUUGGACCCGAUUUUAUUUAUUCCAUGAUUGUUUAAUCCCCAUUUGACAAAUGUACCCCACUCCCCCAAUGUGUAAUAAUUUUGUACUUUUUAUUUCUUUUAUUGUUUGGUUGUUUAAUUAGCUACUAACACAAGAAUAAAAUCAACAAAUUUCAAAAAUACAAAAUAAAGACUCGAUCCAACGUCGAGCAUUUUCUCAAUAAACAAAUCAACUCAUUGCUCCAUCCUAUUCCAUCCCAUCUUUUUC